Molecule: ribosomal RNA, 355 nt
Filed under: uncultured bacterium
Lineage: Bacteria
Description: bacterial SSU rRNA
Rfam family: Bacterial small subunit ribosomal RNA
Source: RNAcentral
GAUGAACGCUAGCGGCAGGCUUAACACAUGCAAGUCGAGGGGUAUAGUUCUUCGGAAUUAGAGACCGGCGCACGGGUGCGUAACGCGUAUGCAAUCUACCUUUCACAGAGGGAUAGCCCAGAGAAAUUUGGAUUAAUACCUCAUAGUAUAGCAGUUUCGCAUGAAACCACUAUUAAAGUCACAACGGUGAAAGAUGAGCAUGCGUCCCAUUAGCUAGUUGGUAAGGUAACGGCUUACCAAGGCAACGAUGGGUAGGGUCCUGAGAGGGAGAUCCCCCACACUGGUACUGAGACACGGACCAGACUCCUAGGGAGGCAGCAGUGAGGAAUAUUGGACCAAUGGGCGCAAGCCUGAU